GUUGGUGAUUUGACGCUGUGGGUACACCUGUUCUCAUUCCGAACACAGAAGUUAAGCGCAGUAGUGGUGAUGGUACUUCGCAAGAGGGAGAGUAGCUAGUCGCCAACA
This 108-nucleotide ribosomal RNA is filed under the name Minisyncoccota bacterium. The record is from RNAcentral. Lineage: Bacteria; Bacillati; Minisyncoccota.